Hucho hucho (huchen) is the source of this 131-nucleotide small nucleolar RNA. The record is from Ensembl. NCBI's taxonomy places the organism in Eukaryota, Metazoa, Chordata, Actinopteri, Salmoniformes, Salmonidae.
UCAGAGACUCAGAGUCACAUCUUGACAAACACUGUUGUCUUGGUGUGCUAGAGUUCUCUAAGACUGAAGACUGUUCCUAUUCACCGGCUGGCCCUGUAAUAGGUCAAUCGGCCACAUGGACAGUUACAAGU